RNAcentral lists this ribosomal RNA (500 nucleotides) under uncultured bacterium. Its description in RNAcentral is "partial 16S ribosomal RNA". It matches the Rfam family "Bacterial small subunit ribosomal RNA", at positions 30 to 523 of the family's 1533-position model. The record is from RNAcentral.
AUUGAACGCUGGCGGAAUGCUUUACGCAUGCAAGUCGAACGGCAGCACGGACUUCGGUCUGGUGGCGAGUGGCGAACGGGUGAGUAAUGUAUCGGAACGUGCCCAGUCGUGGGGGAUAACGUAGUGAAAAUUACGCUAAUACCGCAUACGAUCUAUGGAUGAAAGCAGGGGAUCGCAAGACCUCGCGCGAUUGGAGCGGCCGAUAUCAGAUUAGGUAGUUGGUGGGGUAAAGGCCCACCAAGCCAACGAUCUGUAGCUGGUCUGAGAGGACGACCAGCCACACUGGAGCUGAGACACGGUCCAGACUCCUACGGGAGGCAGAAGUGGGGAAUUUUGGACAAUGGGCGAAAGCCUGAUCCAGCCAUUCCGCGUGCAGGAUGAAGGCCCUCGGGUUGUAAACUGCUUUUGUACAGAACGAAAAGGUUUCUACUAAUACUAGGAGCUCAUGACGGUACUGUAAGAAUAAGCACCGGCUAACUACGUGCCAGCAGCCGCCGUAA